This 24-nucleotide non-coding RNA is filed under the name Arabidopsis thaliana (thale cress). Lineage: Eukaryota; Viridiplantae; Streptophyta; Magnoliopsida; Brassicales; Brassicaceae. The record is from RNAcentral.
AGGAAUGAUCCUAUAUUUUACAGU